AGAGUUUGAUCCUGGCUCAGAUUGAACGCUGGCGGUAUGCCUUACACAUGCAAGUCGAACGGUAGAGGGGCAACCCUUGAGAGUGGCGAACGGGUGAGUAAUACAUCGGAACGUGCCCAGUCGUGGGGGAUAACGUAGCGAAAGCUACGCUAAUACCGCAUACGACCCGAGGGUGAAAGCGGGGGACUCGCAAGAGCCUCGCGCGAUUGGAGCGGCCGAUGGCAGAUUAGGUAGUUGGUGGGGUAAAGGCCCACCAAGCCUGCGAUCUGUAGCUGGUCUGAGAGGACGACCAGCCACACUGGGACUGAGACACGGCCCAGACUCCUACGGGAGGCAGCAGUGGGGAAUUUUGGACAAUGGGCGAAAGCCUGAUCCAGCCAUACCGCGUGCGGGAAGAAGGCCUUCGGGUUGUAAACCGCUUUUGUCAGGGAAGAAAUCCUUUGGGUUAAUACCUCGGAGGGAUGACGGUACCUGAAGAAUAG
Molecule: ribosomal RNA, 482 nt
Filed under: uncultured Leptothrix sp.
Lineage: Bacteria; Pseudomonadati; Pseudomonadota; Betaproteobacteria; Burkholderiales; Sphaerotilaceae
Description: bacterial SSU rRNA
Rfam family: Bacterial small subunit ribosomal RNA
Source: RNAcentral